UCCAAUUAGCAUAGACUUCCUCAUCCAUCUGAUCCAGAACCUCCAAUACACACUCACACACCUGCAACACCUGCUGUGCCUCAGGACUGUCUAACGGCCUAACACAUACAGAAUGCGGCAGACACUGUCAAAAAUGGCACAAGAAGCAACAUUUUGUGUAUGUCUUAUAAUUAUGUUGAGGUUACCAGCAACGGCGGGCAUGUUUUUACCAAGGACGGGGUAUCCGCUCCUCAUCUGCACCGAAACACAAACAAACAACAGCACAAAAGUCUACCCCCAGCAACUCUUCAUAAACCCUCAUUUGAAAACCACUGCUUCAUUCUCUAAUUAUUAGUCACACAAACCUUCUCCCUCUGGGUGUCCAGGAUGCGCUGACAGAGAUUGACCUCCUCCUGGAACAUGACCAGCAGCUGAGAGUAGUUUGGAGCAAAAAGCUGGUGAACCCUCGGCCUCUCCAACAAAGUACCAAACAUCUGCAGGAGCUACAAACACAGGCUUUCAAUGUUAGAGGCUUAGAGACAGGAUUUUCGCACACACUGAAUUAAAU
Molecule: long non-coding RNA, 547 nt
Organism: Sinocyclocheilus grahami
Lineage: Eukaryota; Metazoa; Chordata; Actinopteri; Cypriniformes; Cyprinidae
Exons: 3
Source: RefSeq, a predicted model, not a curated record